AAGGUACCAAACUCUCUGUUCAAACAGUUCGGACGAUCAUCAGUAUAACACAAAACAUCCAACCAGAGGCCUCUUCACAGUCCCCAGGUCCAGAACAGAGGCUGGGAAACGCACAGUAUUAAAUAGAACCAGGACUACAUGGAACUCUCUGCCAUCCCAGGACCUGAGCCCUAGGACCAUGCCUCAGGACUACCUGGCAUGAUGACUCCUUGCUGUCCCCAGUAUCCCUGCCGUGCUGCUGUUCAACUGUUCUGCCUGCGGCUAUGGAACACUGGCCUGUUCACUGGACGUGCUGCCUGUCCCAGACCUGCUGUUUUCAACUCUCUAGAGACAGCAGGAGUGGCAGAGAUACUCUGAAUGAUCGGCUAUGAAAAGCCAACUGACAUUUACUCCUGAGGUACUGACUUGCUGCACCCUCAACAACUACUGUGAUUAUUAUUAUUUGACCAUGCUGGUCAUUUAUGAACAUUUGAACAUCUUGGUCAUGUUCAGUUAUAAUCUCCACACGGCACAGCCAGAAGAGGACUGGCCACCCCUCAUAGCCUCGUUCCUCUCUAGGUUUCUUGCUAGGUUUUGGCCUUUCUAGGGAGUUUUUCCAAGCCACCGUGCUUCUACACCUGCAUUAGCUUGCUGUUUGGGGUUUUAGGCUGGGUUUCUGUACAGCACUUUGAGAUAUCAGCUGAUGUCAGAAGGGCUGUAUAAAUAAAUUAGAUUUGAUAUACAUAAUUUUAAUAGCAGGGUAUAGUAAAGUCCAUUAUUUUUCUGAAGAGUAUAUGAGAAGUGUUGAAUGAGCAUGGGCGGAGUAUUCAUUGUGGUGCUCAUGAAUUUCCUUUCUUUUUCAGCUUCAAACCAAUAACUAUUCUCACUUAACUUCGUUUUUUUGUUUUUCAUUUCUAUGUUUUUUACACCGGAAGGUGAUUAUCCAACAUUAUUAUACAACAUUAUAAAACAGCACAUGCUCUCCUCACAAUGUCAUGCGUUUUAUUGAUUUGAUUUAUUGAUAAGAUCCUAGCUCAUAAUCCUACUGAUCAUUGCUCGAAGCAAAUUGGCGAGAGCAAGCAAACACAAACUGAAGUGAAUGUUUACUAUGUGAUUACACAAUGUGGCUGACUAGAUGACUACAGGAGAGAUUACACAAUGUAUCUGGCUGGAUGACUACAGGAGCGAGAAAUAUGGAUGAGCUGUUCAAUGGAAGAGUUCUGAAAUAUUCUUUCUCGCCAAGGCAAAAUGUGACUGUGAGUAUGUCAUAUUCAUCAAACUCGGUGGAAAUUACUUGGGCCACACAAAGGGGACAGCCCUGGUGCGUCAGAUGAGAGCUGAUUUGGAGGUAGUCAUCAGAAUGUUCUCAGAGAGAACGGUGGUCAACAUCACACAGUGGAGGAGUUGGAUGUUCCAGUGGGAGGAGACCAGGCUGGUACACAGCAAGUCACCAAGCAAUGAUUCUGAUGUUUUAACCUGGUGCAGUGUGUGGAGCCCCCUGACUAUGUUUACUAUAUUACGUCUAGUCUAUGAGACCAGGCUGGUAGACAGCAAGUCACCAAGCAUUGAUUCUGAUAUUGUUAUUUUAACCUGGUGCAGUGUGUGGUGUCCCCUGACUAUGUUUUACUUGCGGAUAGCGAUUUCAGAUUUUCUGUGAACACACUGAAAAGUAAUUUGACACCUAAGUUGAUCAGUCAGCACACAUUUGGAUUAUAAAUGUGAAGACGGCAGGAGAGGGAGUUUAUGCCGGAGCUGUCAUUUAUUCGACAAAUGUUUGAAACAGCAAUGCUGUCAGUCUGGUAAGCAUGCACAACUGAGGUUCGGUUUCCAUGUGCAUUUGGGGUUCUUAAUUUUAUGUAGUUCAACAUCGCUAACUUACUGUAUCUCAAAUCAAAUCAAAUUUUAUUUGUCACAUACACAUGGUUAGCAGAUGUUAAUGCGAGUGUAGAGAAAUGCUUGUGCUUCUAGUUCUGACAGUGUCUCAACAAACCCAUUUGUUUUCUUGGCAAUGGUUUGUGUUGUGGUAUUGGUUCUUCUUAGGAAAUGUAGCAUAGCUAACUGCAAUGUUAGUCCUGUCUGACACAUUUGAUCAUAGCUUGAUCAGUGCAAUGCAAAUAAACAUGAUGAGUAUUUUUAUUUAUCCGUUAUUUUACCAGGUAAGAUGACUCAGAACACAUUCUCAGCAAUGACCUGGGAAAUAGUUAUAGGGGAGAGGAGGGGGAUGAAUGAGCCAAUUUAAAACUGGGGAUUAUUAGGUGACUGUGAUGGUUUGAUGGCCAGAUUGGGAAUGUUAGUUACGGGUCUCCUGACUUUAACAUCCCAUCCAAAAGACAGCACCCUACACAGGGCAGUGUCCCCAGUCACUGCCCUCAGGAAUUGAGACAUUUUUAGGCCAGAGGAAAGAGUGCCUCCUACUGGCACUCCAACACCACUUCCAGCAGCAUCUGUCUCCCAACCAGGGACUGACCAGGACCAACCCUGCUUAGCUUCAGAAGUAAGCCAGCAGUGGUAUGCAGGGUGGUAUGCAGGGUGGUAUGCUGCUGUCUAUAAGUAUGGCAGUUUCCCAAAGUUUGGUGGUUUUAUACUUAACGUAACUAACAUUAACUAAAUAGUAAUGUAUUGUGUAAGAAAGUAUGAUAUAUUGUCGUGCAUGAACUGGCCAUACACGUUAGCUAAUGUUAAGUCUUACGUUGGCUAAGGUUACUUAGCUAGCUAAAGUUAAUUGGCUAUAAUAGCAGCCAAGGACAUUAGCUAAUUUAUUUGUGCAUCUUUGUUUGUGCUCUGGUUACAUCUAAGUGUCUAGUUUACACAAGAUGAUUUCAGCAUUAUGUGAAAAAUCUUAUUGGCAAAAUAUAGCUUGCUAGCUAGCGUUCCCUACUUAUUGGUUAACUACCUAGCCAAUGUUAGCUCUCACUUGACUGGUAUAACAUUAUGUUAGCUAGCUAGCUAAUCAAAACAAAAGCACAUUCAUUGGCUAGCUACAUUUAUUUGCCUCUUUGUUUGCUAGCUAGCUUUCUGCUGACUGGUGAUAGCUAGCUACAGAGGCUAGCAGCUGGACUUUGUACAAGCAAGCUAAUGUUAGCUAGGUAGCAUUAGCUAUUUAGCUACCUAGGUAAUCAAAAUAUCUCUUUAAAUGUAUUGAUUAACCUC
Molecule: long non-coding RNA, 3129 nt
Organism: Oncorhynchus tshawytscha (Chinook salmon)
Lineage: Eukaryota; Metazoa; Chordata; Actinopteri; Salmoniformes; Salmonidae
Source: Ensembl